AAGUGUUACAGCUCUUUUAGAAUUUGUCUAGCAGGUUGUCCAAAUUUUGUUGGAAAAAACCGUU
Acomys russatus (golden spiny mouse) is the source of this 64-nucleotide small nuclear RNA. RefSeq annotates it as U7 small nuclear RNA. NCBI's taxonomy places the organism in Eukaryota, Metazoa, Chordata, Mammalia, Rodentia, Muridae. The transcript has a single exon. The record is from RefSeq and is a predicted model, not a curated record.